RNAcentral lists this ribosomal RNA (468 nucleotides) under uncultured bacterium. RNAcentral's name for it is "partial 16S ribosomal RNA". It matches the Rfam family "Bacterial small subunit ribosomal RNA", at positions 28 to 507 of the family's 1533-position model. The record is from RNAcentral.
GACGAACGCUGGCGGCGUGCUUAACACAUGCAAGUCGAACGGAAAGGCCCUGCUUGUGUGGGGUGCUCGAGUGGCGAAAGGGUGAGUAAGACGUGAGUAACCUGACCUUGACUUUGGGAUAACUUCAGGAAACGGGGGCUAAUACCGACCAGGAGCUCCUGCUGCAUGGUGGGGGUUGGAAAGUGUCGGCGGUUGGGGAUGGACGCGCGGCUUAUCUGCUUGGUGGGGGGGUGGUGGCUUACCAAGGCUUUGACGGGUAGACGGCCCGAGUGGGUGACCGGCCACAUUGCGACUGAGCUACGGCACAGACUCCAACGGGAGGCAACGGUGGAGAAUAUUGCACAGUGGGAGGAAGCCUGAUGCAGCAACGCCGCGUGCGGGAUGCCGGGCUGCGGGUUGUAAACCGCUUUCGCCUGUGACGAAGCGUGAGUGACGGUAAUGGAUGAAGAAGCACCGGCUAACUACGUG